RNAcentral lists this ribosomal RNA (625 nucleotides) under Kocuria sp. RNAcentral describes it as "bacterial SSU rRNA". It matches the Rfam family "Bacterial small subunit ribosomal RNA", at positions 72 to 707 of the family's 1533-position model. The record is from RNAcentral. Lineage: Bacteria; Bacillati; Actinomycetota; Actinomycetes; Micrococcales; Micrococcaceae.
CUUGGUGCUUGCACUGGGUGGAUGAGUGGCGAACGGGUGAGUAAUACGUGAGUAACCUGCCCUUGACUCUGGGAUAAGCCUGGGAAACUGGGUCUAAUACUGGAUACGACAUGUCACCGCAUGGUGGUGUGUGGAAAGGGUUUUACUGGUUUUGGAUGGGCUCACGGCCUAUCAGCUUGUUGGUGGGGUAAUGGCUCACCAAGGCGACGACGGGUAGCCGGCCUGAGAGGGUGACCGGCCACACUGGGACUGAGACACGGCCCAGACUCCUACGGGAGGCAGCAGUGGGGAAUAUUGCACAAUGGGCGGAAGCCUGAUGCAGCGACGCCGCGUGAGGGAUGACGGCCUUCGGGUUGUAAACCUCUUUCAGCACGGAAGAAGCGAAAGUGACGGUACGUGCAGAAGAAGCGCCGGCUAACUACGUGCCAGCAGCCGCGGUAAUACGUAGGGCGCAAGCGUUGUCCGGAAUUAUUGGGCGUAAAGAGCUCGUAGGCGGUUUGUCGCGUCUGCUGUGAAAGCCCGGGGCUUAACCCCGGGUGUGCAGUGGGUACGGGCAGACUUGAGUGCAGUAGGGGAGACUGGAAUUCCUGGUGUAGCGGUGAAAUGCGCAGAUAUCAGGAGGAAC